AUGCAGUCUGUAGCAUUCCCCAGAACCUGUACUUGGGAGACGGCAGUGAGCUUCGCGCAGUAGCCCACAGAGAAAAGUGCACGUAAUCUAAGUGUAAACAGCUUGACAAAUUUUCACUGUGGUAUCCAGCAUCCCCAUCAAGAGACAUAACAUUAGCAGCAUCUGGAAGCUCUGCUUAUGUUUCUUUCCAGAUGCUUCUCCCACUUCUAAGUGACAACGAAACUUCCGGAGGAUGGAAACAUAUGCCCUAAGGAGUGAGCCAAAGUGCUGGAGUGCGCAAAAGCGAAAAGAACGGGUAAUGCACAGACGGACAACGCACACAUCUCAGAAAGCCAACGCAGGUGUAGGUGAACUGUGAAUAGCAGAUGGUCAGAGAAG
Long non-coding RNA from Neofelis nebulosa (Clouded leopard), 378 nucleotides. RefSeq lists it as uncharacterized. The transcript has 3 exons. Lineage: Eukaryota; Metazoa; Chordata; Mammalia; Carnivora; Felidae. The record is from RefSeq and is a predicted model, not a curated record.